RNAcentral lists this ribosomal RNA (859 nucleotides) under uncultured bacterium. RNAcentral's name for it is "bacterial SSU rRNA". It matches the Rfam family "Bacterial small subunit ribosomal RNA", at positions 62 to 952 of the family's 1533-position model. The record is from RNAcentral.
UCGACGAUGAAUCUUCUAGCUUGCUAGAAGUGGAUUAGUGGCGCACGGGUGAGUAAUGCAUAGGUUAUGUGCCCUUUAGUCUGGGAUAGCCACUGGAAACGGUGAUUAAUACUGGAUACUCCCUACGGGGGAAAGUUUUUCGCUAAAGGAUCAGCCUAUGUCCUAUCAGCUUGUUGGUGAGGUAAUGGCUCACCAAGGCUAUGACGGGUAUCCGGCCUGAGAGGGUGAUCGGACACACUGGAACUGAGACACGGUCCAGACUCCUACGGGAGGCAGCAGUAGGGAAUAUUGCUCAAUGGGGGAAACCCUGAAGCAGCAACGCCGCGUGGAGGAUGAAGGUUUUAGGAUUGUAAACUCCUUUUGUUAGAGAAGAUUAUGACGGUAUCUAACGAAUAAGCACCGGCUAACUCCGUGCCAGCAGCCGCGGUAAUACGGAGGGUGCAAGCGUUACUCGGAAUCACUGGGCGUAAAGAGUGCGUAGGCGGGGUAAUAAGUCAGAUGUGAAAUCCUGUAGCUUAACUACAGAACUGCAUUUGAAACUGUUACUCUGGAGUGUGGGAGAGGUAGGUGGAAUUCUUGGUGUAGGGGUAAAAUCCGUAGAGAUCAAGAGGAAUACUCAUUGCGAAGGCGACCUGCUGGAACAUUACUGACGCUGAUGCACGAAAGCGUGGGGAGCAAACAGGAUUAGAUACCCUGGUAGUCCACGCCCUAAACGAUGGAUGCUAGUUGUUGCCUUGCUUGUCAGGGCAGUAAUGCAGCUAACGCAUUAAGCAUCCCGCCUGGGGAGUACGGUCGCAAGAUUAAAACUCAAAGGAAUAGACGGGGACCCGCACAAGCGGUGGAGCAUGUGGUUUAAUUC